This 210-nucleotide unclassified non-coding RNA is filed under the name soil metagenome. RNAcentral describes it as "partial contains 5.8S ribosomal RNA, internal transcribed spacer 2, and large subunit ribosomal RNA". The record is from RNAcentral.
AACCUUAUGGACCUGCGGGCGUAUACCUGCGGAGGGAUCAUUACCGAGUUUACAACUCCCAAACCCCUGUGAACAUACCUAUACGUUGCCUCGGCGGAUCAGCCCGCGCCCUGUAAAAAGGGACGGCCCGCCCGAGGACCCUAAACUCUGUUUUUAGUGGAACUUCUGAGUAAAACAAACAAAUAAAUCAAAACUUUUAACAAUGGAUCU